RNAcentral lists this ribosomal RNA (436 nucleotides) under uncultured bacterium. RNAcentral's name for it is "bacterial SSU rRNA". It matches the Rfam family "Bacterial small subunit ribosomal RNA", at positions 957 to 1392 of the family's 1533-position model. The record is from RNAcentral.
UUACGCGAAGACCUUACCAGGCCUUGACAUGGUAGUCGUACGACUAGGAGACUAGUUGGUCAGUUCGGCUGGACUAUCACAGGUGUUGCAUGGCUGUCGUCAGCUCGUGUCGUGAGAUGUUGGGUUAAGUCCCGCAACGAGCGCAACCCUUAUCCUUAGUUACCAGCGGGUUAUGCCGGGCACUCUAAGGAAACUGCCGGUGAUAAACCGGAGGAAGGUGGGGAUGAUGUCAAGUCAGCAUGGCCCUUACGGCCUGGGCUACACACGUGUUACAAUGGUGGUGACAAUGAGACGCAAUAGGGCGACCUGGAGCAAAUCUAUAAAAGCCACCUCAGUUCGGAUUGCACUCUGCAACUCGGGUGCAUGAAGUCGGAAUCGCUAGUAAUCGCAGAUCAGCACGCUGCGGUGAAUACGUUCCCGGGUCUUGUACACACCG